This 553-nucleotide long non-coding RNA is filed under the name Mytilus galloprovincialis (Mediterranean mussel). Lineage: Eukaryota; Metazoa; Mollusca; Bivalvia; Mytilida; Mytilidae. The record is from RNAcentral.
GUAAGGGGUCAUCCAUAAUUGUCAACCAUUUUCCAAAGUGUACAAAACGUACACUUGGGGGGAGGGGGUUAAAAAAUCUACAUUUUUACCGUACGCUUUUUUUUUUAUUUCCGGAAUUUAUAUCGUUUCCGUAGGGAAAGUCGAUUUAUAAAAUCGAGAAUUGGCUUGGGUGUGUUUCUCUUCUUAUUUCUUCUUUAUUAUUGUCACUUGAUGAUAUUGAUUUCGAUAUCAUAAUUCUACUCAAUCGGGAUUGAACGAUUAAAAGAUCAAAUCAUAUGAAAACUAAAUCUUUCAAAAAUGUGAACUAGUAAAAUUAUUUAAACAAAAAGUUUGCAAGCAUUUCUCAGUACCCCCGAUUGUCAAUUUCACCUGCUUUAUUAUUGAUCGAUAUCGUUUUACUCUGUUUAAUAAACAAAAUUGAUGGAAACACUAAAUUCUUUGAAUGUUUUGAUUUUGACAAGACGCCAUUUUGUGAAAAGAUUUUAAACUGGUCCUUCGAUUGAUUUCCUUGUAAUGCAUUCCAAAAUAGUAAACCAGUAAACCGGAAGUAAAC